RNAcentral lists this ribosomal RNA (497 nucleotides) under uncultured bacterium. RNAcentral describes it as "partial 16S ribosomal RNA". It matches the Rfam family "Bacterial small subunit ribosomal RNA", at positions 28 to 507 of the family's 1533-position model. The record is from RNAcentral.
GAUGAACGCUGGCGGCGUGCCUAAUACAUGCAAGUCGAGCGAACAGACGAGGAGCUUGCUCCUCUGACGUUAGCGGCGGACGGGUGAGUAACACGUGGAUAACCUACCUAUAAGACUGGGAUAACUUCGGGAAACCGGAGCUAAUACCGGAUAAUAUAUUGAACCGCAUGGUUCAAUAGUGAAAGACGGUUUUGCUGUCACUUAUAGAUGGAUCCGCGCCGCAUUAGCUAGUUGGUAAGGUAACGGCUUACCAAGGCGACGAUGCGUAGCCGACCUGAGAGGGUGAUCGGCCACACUGGAACGGAGACACGGUCCAGACUCCUACGGGAGGCAGCAGUAGGGAAUCUUCCGCAAUGGGCGAAAGCCUGACGGAGCAACGCUGCGUGAGUGAUGAAGGUCUUCGGAUCGUAAAACUCUGUUAUUAGGGAAGAACAAAUGUGUAAGUAACUAUGCACGUCUUGACGGUACCUAAUCAGAAAGCCACGGCUAACUACGUG